CAGAUUUGUCUAUCAGGGUCUCCGGCGGCGUUCUUUGCUGAUCUGGUAAUUAAUAUAUGCAAGAGCUGCAAGAGAACCUUCAUACACCUUAGCUUAUCGAGCUGUUUAAGCUUCUCGGGCUAUUUGGUAUGGACUUUCUCCCACUCCCUUCUGCUCAAUGUUAAUGUUAUUACCGAAUCAUAUGCUUCCAAGAUCAACAAAGAACUCCCCGGAUAUCGAGAUGGAAACAAAUUUG
Molecule: microRNA precursor, 235 nt
Filed under: Picea abies (Norway spruce)
Lineage: Eukaryota; Viridiplantae; Streptophyta; Pinopsida; Pinales; Pinaceae
Description: miR11524 stem-loop (pab-MIR11524)
Source: miRBase by way of RNAcentral